CGAGUCUUCGUUUGAAAAAUUCGGAGAGCAAGUGCUAUAACGAUAAUAAAAAAUGGUUUAAUCUAUAUCUGAAGCUAUUUAUUGUGCUAUUUAUCGUAAUAGGCAUAAAAUGGCUCAUGGUAACAGUGAAUGAAUUAUCUGAACAUAUAUCAAUUUACAAUUCGUAUGUUAUUCAGUUGCUGGACAUUAUGCAGAAUCUAUGCACCUUUAUCAUAUUUGUGUGGA
This is a non-coding RNA of Nylanderia fulva, 225 nucleotides long. The record is from RefSeq and is a predicted model, not a curated record. Lineage: Eukaryota; Metazoa; Arthropoda; Insecta; Hymenoptera; Formicidae.